Molecule: non-coding RNA, 77 nt
Organism: Potamilus streckersoni
Lineage: Eukaryota; Metazoa; Mollusca; Bivalvia; Unionida; Unionidae
Source: the annotation of a GenBank genome assembly
GACCGCUCCGUUGGCCUAGCGGUUAGAGCGUCCGCCUCAAAUGCAGGAGGCCGCAGGUUCGCAUCCCGCCAGAGUCA